UGCAAGCAAAAGAAGAAAUACCUAGCUCUGGGGGAGAAGCGGGAAGAAUCGUUUCCAGCAGCUCAGAGGGAAAAAUAAAACCGCACACUUUGUUCAGUUCUUCACAGUAACUGUCACAUACCUCUGGUGCUUAUGAAUUGUUGGCCUCCUACUUGUGAAAGAAAUCUAACACUGUCCUCACCACUUACAG
Non-coding RNA from Agelaius phoeniceus (red-winged blackbird), 190 nucleotides. The record is from RefSeq and is a predicted model, not a curated record. NCBI's taxonomy places the organism in Eukaryota, Metazoa, Chordata, Aves, Passeriformes, Icteridae.